This 467-nucleotide ribosomal RNA is filed under the name uncultured bacterium. RNAcentral describes it as "partial 16S ribosomal RNA". It matches the Rfam family "Bacterial small subunit ribosomal RNA", at positions 28 to 507 of the family's 1533-position model. The record is from RNAcentral.
GAUGAACGCUGGCGGCGUGCUUAACACAUGCAAGUCGAACGGAAAGGCUCCUGCUUGCCGGGGUACUCGAGUGGCGAACGGGUGAGUAACACAUGGGUGAUCUGCCCUGCACUUCGGGAUAAGCCUGGGAAACUGGGUCUAAUACCGGAUAGGACCACAUUUUGGAUGGUGUGGUGGAAAGUUUUUCGGUGUGGGAUGAGCUCGCGGCCUAUCAGCUUGUUGGUGGGGUAAUGGCCUACCAAGGCGUCGACGGGUAGCCGGCCUGAGAGGGUGUACGGCCACAUUGGGACUGAGAUACGGCCCAGACUCCUACGGGAGGCAGCAGUGGGGAAUAUUGCACAAUGGGCGCAAGCCUGAUGCAGCGACGCCGCGUGGGGGAUGACGGCCUUCGGGUUGUAAACUCCUUUCGCUAGGGACGAAGCGUUUUUGUGACGGUACCUGGAGAAGAAGCACCGGCUAACUACGUG